UGAAGCAGAAACCACUAUGAUACAAGGGACACUGUAAUCAUCAACCAUGUUUCCAGUUACUCUGAAACCAGGACUCCUUCUUAACAAAGAGAGAGAGAGAGAGAGAGAGAGAGAAAUGAAGAUUGAAUAGUAAAAUAUACAGCUACAAAGCUAAAAAAGGUAGUUUAACAUCACAUGGUUUAUUUAAAAGGUAUGUCUACCUACUGCCCUCUUUCCUCUCCAUAAUUUUAUAUAAUUGAGUAACGUAUCUUCUAUUACAUUGAAUGUUGUUGAGGUUUUCUUCUUUUUUUCUUGAGAUUUUGUGUAUAAAUGACAAAUUUGGGGCAAUCUGUCUUUUUUAUUGUUAUAUGAAUUAUCUUGGUUAGCAGACAAUAUGGAAAUAAGCCAAAAAAUACAUUGAAUGAUUAUUUUAUUUCCCCUGAUAGUAGAAACCUGAGAUUUUAGUAGUGGUGGAAUGAAAAAUAAAAGCAAAACAAAAAUUUAGAAGUUGUUUUCAUAGAGGAAUCUGGAUACCUACUUUGUGAGACUAGAGUUACUUUAAAUGUACCCUAUCUUAAACUUUUUAUUUUGUGCUGACCGCAUACUAAAAUAUAUCCUAUUCUCUUUAUUUAAAUUUUUUUUAGUUGUAGAUGAACACAAUACCUUUAUUUUAUUUAUUUUUAUGUGGUGCUGAGGAUCAAACCCAGUGCCUCGCACAUGCUGAGCCAUAGCCCCAGCCCUAACACAUCCUAUUCUUAAACUUUUAACUUUGUACUGACUGCAUACUAAAAGAUGUUACUGAUGAGAGUUAAAUCACUGAAUUGCAAGAAUGACUGUCUACUCUAAGAGAGAGAAUUAAUAUAUAAAGCAAAUACAAACUUAAAUCUGCUACUUUUAUAAACUGAAUUUUAAUAGUUUAAGGAAGCAGUUUCAGAUUUGGUAUGUUUAACAAUUCGGAAAAUAAUUUUGAGGAACAGGGUAUAACUUUUACAGUUUUGUUGUACUGGUAUUCUUCCAUCUCAGAGAGCAAGUGCCAAAGGUCAUCUUUGCUUUCAGAGCAUUUUAAUGUGCUUUAAGAGGUUCACAUAAAACUGUAUCAAGGAUUUGGAUAAAAGUUACCUGCAUUUAUUUACAUAUUUCUAACCACAAAUUCAGUUAAUUAUUUAUAUUUUUCCCAGUAACAAAUAUCCUGAUAAUUGAGAAGGUCUUUGGUUUUUACUUGGAGGUCAGGCAUUGUCCAGGUGCCUGAGACUACUUAGCAUUUCUAUGACACUUUAGAGAUGCUUUCAGACUUUGGGUGGCUAACAAGCUGUGUUUUGUACAAAACUAAGGAUCUUAAUCUGAUCAAAUGGUGGUGCUGAAAAGCUCCCUUGGUUUUUAAUAUGAUGAUCUAAUGCUAGGAAAUUGCAGUCUCUUGUUAUUAUACAUAGAUCAAGACAUUCCAUUCUGGACGUGGACUGUAACCUCUGUAGACCUUAUUUUCUUGUUAAAGAUCAGAGGAUCUCUAGGCAACAGGAGUAAAUUUAAAUCACUUUACUUUGUCCACAACUAUCCCUUUCUCUCCACUCCCAUCUUAAACACUUUUAGUCUAAAGCAUAGCUUUCAGAGAAAAAAAUGGAUAAUUCGUGUUAAUUACAAAUCACGUUAUUAUUGGAUAACUUCAUUCCUUAUGAUUGACAUGAGCUAGAUCUAUUUUUUAAAUGCUGAUUUAUUUAUAGUGUUCCACUCACCUGAACUUUUUUAUGUUGUAGACCAUAAAAUGUUGGGAAUAGAACCAAUUGUAGUGGGUCUCCAUCAUUCUGAUUAGAAAAUUUUCAUUAGUCCUCUGAAUCUCACAUAACUUUGUCAAAAUAGUGACAAGUCCACAAAGUGCUUCCAUUAGCUUCUUCAUGGGCUUACUGCUGUUCUUGUCAUCAGGUACUUUUGAGCAGGAGAAAGAGUAGGAUGGAAUGGGAAAGACAGUAGAAUGAAUCAGACAUUACUUUCCUAUGUUUAUAUAUGAAUACAUGACCAGUGUAAAACCACAUCAUAUGCAACCACAAAAAUGGGAAAUUAUACUCCAUGUAUAUAUGAUAUGUCAAAAUACAUUCUAGUAUCAUAUAUGACUAAAAAGAACAAAUUAAAAAGAAUUUUUUAAAAAGUAGGUUCCCUGCUUCUGGUCAUUGGAAAACUAUCUCACAUUUUCCAUCAUCUGGUUGAUAAAUACAGUCCCAUACUUUAUUUUAACACAAUAGCUUUAGGUUAGAUUCAAGAUAGUCUUAUUAAGUCAGAUCAUGGUCAUGAAUGUCAAACCUUUCUGAAAAAUAGCUUACCUGAGGGGUCAGCUAAAUAUGUCCCCAUUGAAACAAAUCAAAUGCAAAGAUUUCUACCCCAGUAAGCUAAUAAACUAUCUUCUUGCUUUCCUUUCUUCAAAGUUUCUUUUCUUUCAAUCACAUCGUAGAUUUUUUGGUGGUGUUUAAAGAAUUUCUCAAAUUUUCAUGUACAAAAAGUGAUGCUUAUACUUAGUAUUUCCAAGGAAUCAAAUGAUUUUUUUUCCUUUUCAUAAUAGCCUAUAGAUGGUUUAUGGUACCUUUUUAAAGAAUCCUCAUAUUUUUAGUAUUUGAAUGUAAGCUUUCUAUUUUGCACCUUUAAAUAUGACAAUAUGACACCAAUACAGUUAAUGCAAAAACAAGCAAACAAACUCAGUUUUGAUGUGGAUUCAAUUAUCCAGGUAGCUCUUGGCCAUCAAAGACAGAUUUUCUUUUCUUUUCUUCUUCUUGGAUUUUUUUCCCCUAUUACAAAGGGAACUUAAGUAAAAAUUGGAGGAUGCUGCAGCUGUUAAAAGCUCUCCGAAGCCCAUUGAGCAAGAACAGAGCUGUUGAAUAAUGCAGACAAGAUAAUGAACAGCAGACAAAUGAUCCCAGGAGGCUACCCGCUGGGCAAAGGGAGUGUGUACUUAGAGGCUNAAAUAAAAGCAAAACAAAAAUUUAGAAGUUGUUUUCAUAAGAGGAAUCUGGAUACCUACUUUGUGAGACUAGAGUUACUUUAAAUGUACCCUAUCUUAAACUUUUUAUUUUGUGCUGACCGCAUACUAAAAUAUAUCCUAUUCUCUUUAUUUAAAUUUUUUUUAGUUGUAGAUGAACACAAUACCUUUAUUUUAUUUAUUUUUAUGUGGUGCUGAGGAUCAAACCCAGUGCCUCGCACAUGCUGAGCCAUAGCCCCAGCCCUAACACAUCCUAUUCUUAAACUUUUAACUUUGUACUGACUGCAUACUAAAAGAUGUUACUGAUGAGAGUUAAAUCACUGAAUUGCAAGAAUGACUGUCUACUCUAAGAGAGAGAAUUAAUAUAUAAAGCAAAUACAAACUUAAAUCUGCUACUUUUAUAAACUGAAUUUUAAUAGUUUAAGGAAGCAGUUUCAGAUUUGGUAUGUUUAACAAUUCGGAAAAUAAUUUUGAGGAACAGGGUAUAACUUUUACAGUUUUGUUGUACUGGUAUUCUUCCAUCUCAGAGAGCAAGUGCCAAAGGUCAUCUUUGCUUUCAGAGCAUUUUAAUGUGCUUUAAGAGGUUCACAUAAAACUGUAUCAAGGAUUUGGAUAAAAGUUACCUGCAUUUAUUUACAUAUUUCUAACCACAAAUUCAGUUAAUUAUUUAUAUUUUUCCCAGUAACAAAUAUCCUGAUAAUUGAGAAGGUCUUUGGUUUUUACUUGGAGGUCAGGCAUUGUCCAGGUGCCUGAGACUACUUAGCAUUUCUAUGACACUUUAGAGAUGCUUUCAGACUUUGGGUGGCUAACAAGCUGUGUUUUGUACAAAACUAAGGAUCUUAAUCUGAUCAAAUGGUGGUGCUGAAAAGCUCCCUUGGUUUUUAAUAUGAUGAUCUAAUGCUAGGAAAUUGCAGUCUCUUAUUAUACAUAGAUCAAGACAUUCCAUUCUGGACGUGGACUGUAACCUCUGUAGACCUUAUUUUCUUGUUAAAGAUCAGAGGAUCUCUAGGCAACAGGAGUAAAUUUAAAUCACUUUACUUUGUCCACAACUAUCCCUUUCUCUCCACUCCCAUCUUAAACACUUUUAGUCUAAAGCAUAGCUUUCAGAGAAAAAAAUGGAUAAUUCGUGUUAAUUACAAAUCACGUUAUUAUUGGAUAACUUCAUUCCUUAUGAUUGACAUGAGCUAGAUCUAUUUUUUAAAUGCUGAUUUAUUUAUAGUGUUCCACUCACCUGAACUUUUUUAUGUUGUAGACCAUAAAAUGUUGGGAAUAGAACCAAUUGUAGUGGGUCUCCAUCAUUCUGAUUAGAAAAUUUUCAUUAGUCCUCUGAAUCUCACAUAACUUUGUCAAAAUAGUGACAAGUCCACAAAGUGCUUCCAUUAGCUUCUUCAUGGGCUUACUGCUGUUCUUGUCAUCAGGUACUUUUGAGCAGGAGAAAGAGUAGGAUGGAAUGGGAAAGACAGUAGAAUGAAUCAGACAUUACUUUCCUAUGUUUAUAUAUGAAUACAUGACCAGUGUAAAACCACAUCAUAUGCAACCACAAAAAUGGGAAAUUAUACUCCAUGUAUAUAUGAUAUGUCAAAAUACAUUCUAGUAUCAUAUAUGACUAAAAAGAACAAAUUAAAAAGAAUUUUUUAAAAAGUAGGUUCCCUGCUUCUGGUCAUUGGAAAACUAUCUCACAUUUUCCAUCAUCUGGUUGAUAAAUACAGUCCCAUACUUUAUUUUAACACAAUAGCUUUAGGUUAGAUUCAAGAUAGUCUUAUUAAGUCAGAUCAUGGUCAUGAAUGUCAAACCUUUCUGAAAAAUAGCUUACCUGAGGGGUCAGCUAAAUAUGUCCCCAUUGAAACAAAUCAAAUGCAAAGAUUUCUACCCCAGUAAGCUAAUAAACUAUCUUCUUGCUUUCCUUUCUUCAAAGUUUCUUUUCUUUCAAUCACAUCGUAGAUUUUUUGGUGGUGUUUAAAGAAUUUCUCAAAUUUUCAUGUACAAAAAGUGAUGCUUAUACUUAGUAUUUCCAAGGAAUCAAAUGAUUUUUUUUCCUUUUCAUAAUAGCCUAUAGAUGGUUUAUGGUACCUUUUUAAAGAAUCCUCAUAUUUUUAGUAUUUGAAUGUAAGCUUUCUAUUUUGCACCUUUAAAUAUGACAAUAUGACACCAAUACAGUUAAUGCAAAAACAAGCAAACAAACUCAGUUUUGAUGUGGAUUCAAUUAUCCAGGUAGCUCUUGGCCAUCAAAGACAGAUUUUCUUUUCUUUUCUUCUUCUUGGAUUUUUUUCCCCUAUUACAAAGGGAACUUAAGUAAAAAUUGGAGGAUGCUGCAGCUGUUAAAAGCUCUCCGAAGCCCAUUGAGCAAGAACAGAGCUGUUGAAUAAUGCAGACAAGAUAAUGAACAGCAGACAAAUGAUCCCAGGAGGCUACCCGCUGGGCAAAGGGAGUGUGUACUUAGAGGCUAGAUUUAUUAUCCCAACAUCUUUUGUGGUGACCUCCAAUUUAUUGGAAAUACCUGAGACAUUUAUAAACUGAGCAUAUUCUUCCCCUUCAACGGAAGCCAAACUUGCUCAUCAUUUCUACCUUAGCUGCCUGAAGCAACAUAGCAAAGUUGCAGAACACCAAACUUCCUCUUUGAAAAAAGAAAUGAUUAUUUAGCCAGGUAAAGAGAAAAGAACCAAGAAAGUAACCUUGUGGUCGAUUUGUCAACUGAAGUACAAAUUUGUUAACUGAAGUGGCUCCCUAGACUAUAGGAAAGUAUUCUAUGACAUGAGGCUUUCUUGUUUACUAGAAACUGCCAGUAAAGUUUAAACCUUCAAUGAUUAGAUUUGUUAAUAUACCAUUUUAUAGGCACAAUCUAUUCCCAAUUAAAUUUGGAUCAUUUUGUAACAAAAUGAUAUAACAAAAGCAUAAGUGUGGGAUAUAUUGUAUGCUAGAUGGGAUUAUAAAUUGCUUUUGAAUUAAAAUAAGCAUUCUUGUGAGAUAGCUUUUGAUGCAAGACUUAUUCUUUUGAUAAAUUAUCAAAAUUUAUUUUAAACAAUUUCACAGUCAAAUUUAGUGAGAACCUCAAUAUAGGAUUAAAGAAAUCAUUCCACUUGGAAUGAGAAUCUUCCAAAUCCAUGAAUGAACUGAUUUUGGAAAUCUUUUAACUACAUUACUCUUUCUAUCUAGUCUGCUCUUUUGUUGUUCUUUGUUUUGUUUUUUAUUUUUUUUUUAACAGAACUUUCCUAAUUUUAAAGCUCAAUCAUUUUGACCUACCUGCCAAUUUACCCUAUUGAGGUUUUAGAGUUUAACCAUAUGCUAAUUAUGCCAAUAUAUUAAUUUAAGAUAGCAAAAUUCUGAUGACCUUCAUUACCUAAAAGAUACUGCUCUGUUUAUUCACGUUAUAUCCAUCAUUUCAAUCAUAUUAAGAAUAAAUUGAGGGCUGGGUAGCUCAUUGCAGAGUGCUUGCCUAGACUAGGUGAGGCCCCAGGUUUCAUGCUCAGCAUUGAAAAAAAAAAUUCAAUAGUAUGCCAGGCACAGUGGUACAUACCUAUAAAACCAGUUAUGCUGCAGAAUGAGGAAAGAGGAUGGCAAGUUCAAAGCCAGCCUGGGCAACAUAGCGAGAUCCUGUAUCAAAGUAAAAAUAAGAAGGGCUAGAGAUAUAGCUCAUUGAUAGAGCACCCCUGGGUUCUAUCCCUAGUACUACUAAAAAAAAUAAAAAUAAACAAAAAAGAAAAAUGAAAAAGAGUUUAGGAAUUUUCAAUUUAAGUGAUAAUACUUAAGUUGUUGAAAAUCUUUUUUUUUUGUACUUGUAUAUUUGAGUAAAUCAAAUAGAAAGGUUUUAGUUUCUAAAAGGGAUUGAAAUGAAUGAGAUUGAAUAUAAACUUGGAGUACUUAAAAUAACAUAUUAGAAAGAAGAAAAUCAUGGUAGAUCCUUGUAAAAGGCAGGUGGAAUUCAUAAUAAUAACUGGAUGAAAAAACUUACUAAAGCUGAGAUAAGAUGUGCUACAAUAUUCUGCAGAAUAGCACCUACAUGGUUCAAGUGAGCAAGCAGAUGGCUUUGAAUGCCCAACAGCACCACAAAUUAAUUAAGACCAUAUCUAUAUGACUAGUACAUUUGCUCUUUUUCUUUUUAAAUUUUUUUUUAGUCGUAGAUGGACACAAUGCCUUUAUUUUAUUUUUAUGUGGUGCUGAGGAUCGAACCCAGUGCUUUCCACAUGUGAGGCAAGCAGUCUACCACUGAGUUACAAUUCCAACCCACACUUUUUCUUUUUGACCUCUGUGCUGGUUGCAUUCUGAGUUCAUAACCAGAAUGUCUAAUUAUCAGAAUCAUGUUAAUGAACUGAUUGCAUUUACUAGUGUCAGUGAGAGCAUUCCAAUCAUUUCUCAAUAUUCAGACUGAAAAUGCACAUAAAUUGAAUCAUAGGCUUUGAGCAGCAAUAAAUGAAACUUCCGCAAGUACAUAUAUUUAAGUCUCAAGAACUAUUUUAUGGGGCCAGGGCUUGGACUGUAGCUUAGUGGCAGAGCACUUGCUUAGCAAGUGUGAGGCACUGGGUUCGAACUUUAGCACCACAUAAUAAAUAAAUCAGUAAAUAAAUAAAUAAAGGCAUUCUGUCCAUUAAAAAAGUAUUUUAUAUAUAGUGUGUAUAUUCUUGCUAAUUAACUAAACAUUAAAAUGUAACAUAAAAUAUGAAAUAUGUUCAGGCUUAUAAAUAUAAAUUCAUCCAUUCAUGCAUCCUUUACCUUUUUUUUUGAUACUACUGUUAUCUUCCCAUGAUAGAUCUAGGAAUACCAGCAUGCAGAUACAUACCCCAAUGCAAAAUGGUAUUUUUUCUGAGCAAGCAGGGGGUAAAGCUUUGACCAGGGGAAAGUUUACAUAUUCUGUUAUAUAGGAGUGCCAAAUCUACCAAAAUCCUGAUCACUGGAUAGUGAAACUCAUCAGUUCAAAUGCCCCACCCAUGUGCACAGAGUUAACAUUAGCUUUUUAAUACUUUAUUCCAUACAGUAAGCAAUCAUCAAACAUUUAAGGAAAGCUUCAAAUAUGAAAGAAAGAGACCAAAAUAGAAAAAAAUUAAAUUAAUUUUAAAAAAGCAGUUCAGAGUUUAUGAAGAAAAAAAGCACUGGCAAAAAGAACAUCCAUAAUUAUUUUCCGGAGAGAAAUAAGAAAACACAGUGCUUCCAUAAAACAAGAGCAAUAAAAGAGAAUAAUUCUGUCAGUAAGAAAAUUAAAAUAGCAUAAAUAAAAAUCUCAAGAGCAAUUUGAAGAUAAAGUCAAGAAAAUAUUUUAAAUGGCAGACCAAUGAGAGAAAAGAAAAAAAAAAAGAGCAUCAGCCAUGUUAUCCAAUAUUUCGAUAAUUUUUAAAGCACUACCUGAAAACAGAAAGAAGAAAUGGGAUAAUAUCAUUAAAUAUAUACACUUUAAAAAUUACUACAACUAGAGAACACAAAUCCAGAUUGAAAAAUCUGUUGAAGGCCCAACACAUGAAAAAGUCACAUACCCACCUCAAGGCACAUGAUUAUAAAAUUUUAGUACUUUGGAGGAAGUGGAUAUUCUGAAAGCAUUUAAGUGUAAGUUUAAAAAAGAAAACUCAUAAAGGAUCAAGAGAGGAAUUGGUUUUACGACCACAACUUUGGAAACUAAAAGAAAAUGGAGGAAUGUCUUCAAAAUUAUGAAGAAAAGUGCUUUCCAAUUUAGAUUUCUAUACCCUGAAAAACAACUUAGUGAAUUAGAGUAUUAACAGAAUUUAAUAUCUCCCAAAAUAUAUUUGCCUACACCAUUUCUCACAAAGUUUCUGGAGGAUGUAUUCCACUAAAACAAUAAAGGCAACAGAGAAAGGAAAAGCAUGGGAUCCAAAAUGGGAGACAAAAGACAGAGAAAGGUAAAAGAAAUUCCCAGGAUUAUGGUGAAAGAAGAUCCCCAGUGCAAGACCAGACCAAGAAAGUAGCAGUCUAAAGGGGAGCAGUAGGAAGGGGAGCUCUAGAAUAAAAAUAUAAACUAUAUAUAUUUGCAUAUGUCAAAAGAGUUUUCUUUUAAUAUAUUUGCAUAUAUCAAAAGAUUUCAAAUACAGAGUUUGGGGAUGAACUGGUGAUCAAUUCAUAGAUAAGAACAAAAUAGGUAUAAAAAAUGAGGUAAUCAUUAACUUUAUGAGGGAAAAGUGUACUAGGCACAAAAGGUAAUAUUUGAUGUGCUCCUAUAAUCAUGUUGGUAAUUUAUCUGGUAAAAACGGGGUGAUAUAGAAUUUGUUUGGUAGAGGGUAAAUGUAUGUGUGUGUGUGUGUGAGAGAGAGUGAGUGAGAGAGAGACAGAAAGACAGACAGCGGCAUAUAAGAGAGUCACUUUUUAUUGUAGGUUAUCAAUGGGUAAUACCUAAAGACUGGUAUAUUAGGAGAAAGAGCUAAAGGAAUUGAAAUGGUUAUAUGGAAUAUAGCAAUGAGAAAUACCACUCAUUGCUAUAUUCCAUAUAAGUUGACUUCUGGACCCCAAGUAGCAGAAUAGAGAAGGCUGAAAAGUGAAUUUGGAGAGAUAAAGAAGAUAUCCAAUACAGUAAGUUUCAGAGAGGACAGGAAAGAGCAUUAAAGAAAAGAAAAAUGAAACAUAAAUAACCAGAGUUCUUAAUCCUAGAGAACAAAAUGAUUGAAAUAAUUGAACAAAAUGAUUCCAGAAUAUGAAGUUUAGUUUAUAGAUUUAAAAAAGCCAUUUUAUACAAGUAAAAAAAUAUCUUGGACUGUAAUAAAAUGGGUUUUAACUCUAUAAAUCAGAUAGCGACAGUCUGUAUGCCAGUACAACACAUUAAACACUUGAAUGAUUCCUUGGAAAGUUUUUUAUUUUAAAAUAUAUUUUUAGUUAUAGAUAGACACAAUGCCUUUAUUUUACUUAUUUAUUUUUAUGUGGUGCUGAGGAUUGAAUCCAGUGUCUCACACAUGCUAGGUGAGCAUUCUACCACUGAGCCACAACCCAGCCCUUUUGAGCCUUUUUCCAUGAUAUUUAUAAGUUUCUCUGAGGAUUACAUACUGUUUCUCUUUUAAAGGCAAGAGAAAUUCACCAAAUAACUCUUUUAACAGUUCUAAUUUUUUAAAAAUGUGAAGCCAUACUAAAAAUCAUCAUAUACCCUUAGAAGCUGUAUUAUGUCCUAUGGUUAUGUUAACGAACCUCCACACACUUAGUGGUUUAACUCACAGUUCCCAUGGGUCAGAAGUCUGGGCAGAGCUUACUGCGUCCUGUGUACAGGUUCUCACAAGAUUGUAAUCAAGGUAUCAGAAGGGCUGUGUUCUCAUCUGGAGGCUCAAUUGGGAAAAAAUGUGUUUCCAAGGAUUUAUUUGCUGUAGCUAUAUGAUGAGGAUCCCAGCUCAUAGCUUGUAGUCACUGUCGGAUCCUAGAGACUGAGUUAAGAUCCUUGCUAUAUAUAUAUUUCUUCAAAAUGACUCUUUACUUCAAGCCAGCAAGGAGACUUCCUCACUUUGUUCUGCUAGGAAGGAGUCUUAUUAUAGCACAACCACUGCGGGAGUGGUAGUCCAUCACCUUUGCCAUGUCCAAUGAGAGAGAGGAUCAUACAAAAGCAUGGACACAAAUUAAGGAAAUCAGUGGUGGUCCCUUAGGUCUGUCUUCUGUAUGGGUCUCUAAAAUUUAUAUAUACACGUAUUUUAGUACUGGGGAUUGAACCCAGGGGCUUUCAACCAUGAGCCACAUCCAUAGCCCUUUUUCUUUUUUAUUUUGAGACAGGGUCUCACUAGGUUGCUUACAGCCUCAUUAAGUUGCUGAGGCUGAUUUUGAACAUGUGAUCCUCCAGCCUCAGCCUCCUGAGCUGCUGAGAUUACAGGCAUGUGACACCAGACCCAGCUGAAAAUAUUUUGAAAGCUAAGAUCUGCUAAGUUUUGCUGUACAUGCAUGGUAUUUAACUUAAUAGUUUGUCUACUCCUACACACAUUUCAAUUUUUUAAUUUUUAAAGUGUAAAAGUAAUUUUUUGACAAAACAACUGGUAGCUUCACUCUACUUUAUUUACAGUGCAAUGGUAUCCCCUUCGAUGGUUGUGCAUGGUGUUUGUCUUAUUUUUCACAUUAAGCACAGUACCUGACUUAGAAGCUGGUCAAUGAAUAACUGAUGAUUCAAUUAAUUCCUUCCCUAAAAUAUUUCAAAAAUCCAAAGUUUGGAUAUAUAUUCAAAAAAAUAACACUAAAGCUUUAUGCUGUUAAGACCUGCCAUGUAGCUGUUAAUUGUUACUGUUACUGUAGCACAGAAUAAUAAUGAAAACUAAAAUUCAUUGACUACUUACUCUGUCCCAGGAACACCUUUUAACUAUUUAGUUCUCAAAAUGACCCUAAGAGGACACUUAUUUAUUUUAAGAACAGUGAACUCUUAAAAAAAUCUUAUGAUGAUAAGUUUGAGAAUCAAUAGCACUGAGGUUUAAACCUAUCAUUUAUCCUCUUAAAAUUUCAUUAUUGUAAACUGCUCAGUCUUUUCCCCCUUUUAUAAGGUCAUGGUCACCUAAGCCAACUCCAACAUGAACAUUAAAACAUCUUUUUUUUUCUUUGACCUCAAGGUGUUCAACAGGUCAUUUUACCCCUUGAACAAAAAGUAGCCUUUCAUAUUUAAACCACGAAUGAUUAUUUUAUGCAGCUCUGAAAAUGUAUUUAUAAAUAAUCAUGUAUUCAAACAUAAUAAGUCAUUUAGGACUGUAAUUAGUCAUUGUCAAGUCCUGGCAAACAGCAGGAUUCUAAUUGGAAAGCAGUGUUUGCCCUACUUGUGCCUCAAUGAAACUUUCAGAGAAGGGCAGCAUGUGCUUCUUAAUCUGUUUUUCUAACAGCUAGUAGCGAAUCAAUGAAGAUGAGGCUGGUGGCUAUGAUAAAUUAAUAUGCACACUGACAACUUAUAACCGUGCAAUUGCUUAGGGAAUUACUAUGUGACUAUAUCCAAGUAAUUAUAUGUUUUAAAUGAUUUAUCUCAAUUUGUUAACAAUACACCCUUAAAAUGGAAAUAAAAAGAGAGAAAAUGCAAAUAGCAUGUUAUACCAACUUUAUGUUGAACUUAUUAAGAGGUUGCCCUUUUAAUGAAGAAUUUAAUGAAUUAAGAGGUUUGUUAUGAAGAAGCAUUCUUACUACUUGUUAAGUGUUUGUCACCACAGACCUGUCAUAGUCAUUCUAAUUAUGAUUAAUACCUUAUCUUGAAUUCCAUCUUCAUUCACAUUUCAGUAACAAAUGUAACUUCCAUUAUAUGAUCAAGGUUCAUGAAAACAGGAUGAUUUGCCUAUGACCUUAUAUUUUAUUCAUUUUUGCAUUCAUAUUUAACAGAUUUCUCAGCAAUGAAGGUUAACCUUAUGGAUCUUUUAAUUUUUAAAGUGCAUUUUAUCCCUGACAUGCUUUGCAACCAUUGAUACUGCUUAAGAUCAUGAUUGUGUACUCAAGACAAAUGAAAAAUCCUAACAUUUUGAUUAUUUUAGUGUAUAUCCAGAAAUGGCUACUUUAAAGCAUUGUCUAAAAAUGUUUUUGUCUGGUAUGGACAAAGCUGGUUUAAUUCUCUCAAACCUUACUAAUAUUCUCAAUACGGAGGACACAAGUUUAUGAAGUGCAAAAAUAAUGUAUUAGAAUGCAGGGUCAUAUUUUCAGUGCAGUCUCUAUGUAAAUUGUGUCAAGUAUGGAGGUUAUUGUUGUUGAAUUUAUUUUUAAGUAGCAUAAUGUGAAAUCUAUAUUAUAUAAUGCUAUUUAUAUAUCUCUUCCUUUUUAGUCUUUUUCUUUUAUUCCUAUAUAUGCAUCCACUUUUGUAUACUUUUUCUCCUUUUUCUGCUUCUUCCUCCUUUAUUCUGUACCCACUUUAUUUCCUCUUUUUUUAUUUCCCAUCUUCAUUUUACUCUUUGUCUUUGUCUCCACUCUCCAGGGACAUAUUCUCACUAUUUCUAUUAUCCUAUUUUUUCUCUUUUACCCUUCCCUUUGUACAUCAUUCUUCUCCUUCAAGGGAAUUUAUAUUUUCUACCUGCAUAAAAGGCAGGCUAUAGUCCAUCUUGGCAUUUGAUUUUGUGUUUUUAAGUGUACUUGUUUACUUAAAAAAUGUUAAAAGCUCUGAAAGGAAAUAAAAAUAAUAUUGCUUCUUUUUCUACCUCUUUUUAUUAGACUAUGAAGAGAGAAUCUCUAUGAGAUCCAAAAGUGCUACAUUAAUAAGCUCACUAUCAUCUCCGUGAAAAUUAAGCCAAUUAUUAUUGGCAACAACAACAACAAUAAUAAUAAAACAAUGGACUAUCAGAAAACCAGAUCAUGUAUCAAAUGUGAAGUCUGCUCUCCUAAGGGCUGGGUAUCAACGAGGGGCAGCUUCUUUAGUGGGAAGAAGCUCUCUGGUCCCCAGAGCCGCUGAAUCCUUCUCAAUCUCUGGUGUUGAUGAGGAACACUCCACAUGUAACAUCAUCAAGGCAUUUGCAGUAAGCCAGGUAGCAGGAGCGAAGUGUAUGCAAAUCAGGGAAAUGAACUCUCUCCUGAGGUCUUCCAAAUCACUCAAUUCUUGAAGCAAUUAGCAGAUAGUCUAUUUCCCCUUAAACUAGAUGCAUUUACAUUUUCUUCAUCAUUUGAAGCAUGUCUUCACACAUUUCAGGUUCUCCAUUAUAAGCAGAGAUAAGCACUAUGCACUUAUUGUCGAAUCCAGUGGAAUAAAGUCAAACACUCG
This 13550-nucleotide long non-coding RNA is filed under the name Marmota monax (woodchuck). Lineage: Eukaryota; Metazoa; Chordata; Mammalia; Rodentia; Sciuridae. The record is from RNAcentral.